Molecule: ribosomal RNA, 450 nt
Filed under: uncultured Glomeromycotina
Lineage: Eukaryota; Fungi; Glomeromycota
Description: SSU rRNA
Rfam family: Eukaryotic small subunit ribosomal RNA
Source: RNAcentral
AGCAGCCGCGGUAAUUCCAGCUCCAAUAGCGUAUAUUAAAGUUGUUGCAGUUAAAAAGCUCGUAGUUGAAUUUCGGGAUUAAUAUGUUGGUCGUGCCUUGGUACGUACUGGCAUUAUUGAUUCCUACCUUCUGAAGAACCUCGAUGUCAUUAAUUUGGUGUCUUGGGGAAUCAGGACCGUUACUUUGAAAAAAUUAGAGUGUUUAAAGCAGGCUCGCGCUUGAAUACAUUAGCAUGGAAUAAUGAAAUAGGACGUUUGAUUCUAUUUUGUUGGUUUCUAGGAUCGACGUAAUGAUUAAUAGGGAUAGUUGGGGGCAUUAGUAUUCAAUUGUCAGAGGUGAAAUUCUUGGAUUUAUUGAAGACUGACUACUGCGAAAGCAUUUGCCAAGGAUGUUUUCAUUAAUCAAGAACGAAAGUUAGGGAUCGAAGACGAUCAGAUACCGUCGUAGUC